CUAUUACUGGGGAAGGGCUAAUCUUCACCUCCAAGGCAUCUGGAAAUAAAAUAUCAUAAGCAUAACAAUAGCGAUUGCAAACCCUUUGUGAUCUAGGGCUUUUAGAACAAAAAUUAGACAAUGUUAUGUUCCCUUCUUUUUUGUAUGAGAGCAAAAUUGUUGAGAGGAGCCAUUGGAGCUCAUUAAUAACUGUUUUGCUGCACAAACAAAAGUGAAGGGACACCAGCUGAAUCAAUUGGCUUCAUUACUGAUACAUUGUUAGCUGGGAGCAUAUCCCAUUGAGCUCAAUAAACUGGAUUUGCAGUUCCACUCAUAAAAAUUUCCAUGGAAGAAAUAAGUAUAGCCUGAAAUAUUUCCCACCUAAAGUAGACCGCACAGUAUUUCAUAAUGGCCAGAAUAUGUCCAACAUGUGCAUGAACAAGCCACUCUGCUGGCUUCAGAAUACCUAUUCAUGCAUGCAUCAUCAGUAGAGUAUAAAAUUAUUUUCUUCACUAAGAGAGUUUUUCUGGGUCUGGGUUCACAAACUAGAAAGAAAUGAUUAAAUAGAUAUUUAAAUACACAUGUGCCUUUUCUCCUGAUAGAACUACAAAGAUCAAAACCACUUUGAACUCAGGACACACCUUAUUGCAGUUCAACCAGGAAAUUCUGCAGGGGAGUGGAAAUCUGGGAUUAUGUACUUCAUGCAGAGGCUGCAAAAGCCUGUUUCCUGACUAGAAGAGAAGUCCAGAACAACAACCUAUUAUGCAGAGAUGCAAAGCACAACCACUUUUUCAGGGCAGGAAAUUCUCAGCUUUGAGUGGUAGCCAUUCCACAAAGCAAAAGGGAAAGUGGAAAGUAGUCUUACCUGCAGCCAUGAGACACAACAGGAGCAGCAACACUUCCAUCGUACGGUCCCUUUAUAAAAAGAAAGGAAGAAAUGGGAGGUGCUGGACUUUGGCUAUACAUUAACAGAUCAAAAGUACACAAGUAUUGCCAGUAAGGAAAGUGGGACAGUGGAUUGGCUUCACCCUCAAAAGGCGCUGCUUUGAAAUUGAAAGAUUUAAGAAUGAGAUCGAGUACGCAGUGCAGAAACAGGAAGCAAUGCCACCAAUAUUCUCAUUUAGGAAUACAUCCUAUUGAAUUUGGUGACACUAGUAAACAUGCUUAUUAGAUCAUGGCAGCUGCAUGUGUUGCAAAUAUCAGUUGAGGUAAGGAAUGUUGCCCUUCAGAUCCUGAUCAUUUACAGCCUGGAAGUACAAAAUGAAAUUAUUACCCCCUGAUUAAAAUUCUGUCCCCCGCAAGAAAUUUUAUUUCAGUUCACACAUUUCUAGCACUGAAGCUAGAACAUCAGCCCUGGCCUUGUCUUUCUCAACUGCAGAGUAUGCCUGUCCUCUUUGGCACAAGUCUGCCCAUGCAAAGCAGGUGGACAUAGCACUGAAUGAAACAUGCAGAAUCAUCACGGGAUGCCUUAAACCUACACCUGUUGAUAAACUCUACAAGUUAGCUGGCAUUGCCCCUCGUGACGUGCGACGGGAAGUUGCUGCUAACGGUGAGAGAAAAAACGUUGAACAUUGUCAAAGCCACCCACUGCAUGGCUAUCACCCUCCUCCCACCAGACUCAAAUCAAGGAAGGGCUUCAUGAGAACCACCACUCCUCUUGAUGUUCCUCCAGCAACAGCAAGGGUGUCCCUCUGGGCAGCUAAACCUGGCAAUUCUAACUGGAUGGCCCCCCAUGAGGGUCUUCCUCCAGGGGCAAACCAGGAAUGGGCAACAUGGAAGUCCCUAAACAGACUCAGAAGUGGAGUGGGCAGAUCAAAAGACAACUUAGCAAGGUGGCACUACCUGGAGAAAUCCUCCACCUUGUGUGACUGUGGAGCUGAACAAACAACUCAGCAUAUGUAUGCUUGCCCACAAUGCCCUGCCUCAUGUACGGAGGAGGAGUUGUUUAAAGCUACAGACAAUGCGGUUGCUGUUGCCCGCUUUUGGUCCAAAACUAUUUAGUUGCUUGUGAUUUCUUUUCUUUUUUAUUUUAUUUCCAUUAUUUGAAAUGUAUUUGCUGUACCAAUGCUUUUGACACGAAAUAAAUAAAUAAGCACUGAAGCUGAAGAUUUUAAAAAUGCA
Long non-coding RNA from Anolis carolinensis (green anole), 2100 nucleotides. RefSeq lists it as uncharacterized. The record is from RefSeq and is a predicted model, not a curated record. The transcript is spliced from 2 exons. Lineage: Eukaryota; Metazoa; Chordata; Lepidosauria; Squamata; Anolidae.